UGAGGGAUAUUGCACAAUGGGCGAAAGCCUGAUGCAGCAACGCCGCGUGAGGGAAUACGGUCUUCGGAUUGUAAACCUCUGUCUUUAGUGAAGAAGACAGUGACGGUAGCUAAAGAGGAAGCCACGGCUAACUACGUGCCAGCAGCCGCGGUAAUACGUAGGUGGCGAGCGUUAUCCGGAAUUACUGGGUGUAAAGGGAGCGCAGGCGGGACUGCAAGUUGGAUGUGAAAUACCGCAGCUUAACUGCGGAGCUGCAUCCAAAACUGUAGUUCUUGAGUGGAGUAGAGGUAGGCGGAAUUCCGAGUGUAGCGGUGAAAUGCGUAGAUAUUCGGAGGAACACCGGUGGCGAAGGCGGCCUACUGGGCUUUUACUGACGCUGAGGCUCGAAAGUGUGGGGAGCAAACAGGAUUAGAUACCCUGGUA
This 423-nucleotide ribosomal RNA is filed under the name uncultured bacterium. RNAcentral's name for it is "bacterial SSU rRNA". It matches the Rfam family "Bacterial small subunit ribosomal RNA", at positions 355 to 792 of the family's 1533-position model. The record is from RNAcentral.